AAUCGCGCAGACAUUGAUCUGAAAAUAAACGUCCAAAAUGGUGUCAUUUCCCGUCUGUUUUGCAAGAAAAUGUAAAAGCCUACGUGUGUGGAAGUCCACGUUUACAAUACCGUUUGUGUAUGUGUGCGUAUGAGUGAGAGAGGGAGAAAUGGGGUCAGACUGAAGAUUUCCUUGCACGGGCAACAAGAAGCAUUUUGUCAUGAAGUACACAUCAGCAUUGUCACGUCUGUUCUCCGGAGAUUAUUCUGUGUACCUUGUAUGAUGUUAGAAUUUUAUCAACAUGUGCAUUGUUCUCCAUGUAGAUGUGUAUCUAUGCACCAUGUCACGCCCGACCUCCAUUCAGGCGUUCAAAAACACUGCGCCAGAUUGUCAUUGUACUUUAUCACCUGUUUGUGACUGAAGCGUCAUCAUCUAUUUUUGGGAUGGAGACUAGUCUGGUUUGAUUAUUAAUAAAUGUCAUCAAAGAGGAGAUCACGAAGGGUAUUUACUGAGAAAGAUAUUUCAGCAUGUAAUGGUAAAUCCCAAUGUAUUUCCACACUUUAACUGAUAGUUUACAGCCCAUUGGAUACAGCACAUUGAAAAAUUUCAGUUAGGUGUUCCGCUGACUUUUAAUAAUGUAAAUUAAGCAUAAAUCACUAGAUUAUAUUUCCCAACCCAGUCUAGAUACACACUAAUUUACUACUGCAAUACAGAACACAAUACAGGACAACGACAAAUCAGAACGGCGAAUAUGAUCCUUUGUUAAAUCAUUUUGUGUACUUCUGUGAGCAGUAGAUGGCAGUAUUUGUUGCAAAAUAAUUUUUCGAAAGCCUAUGAUUCGGGGAAUGGUUCAAGGACGUCUAUAGACUUCCCUUUGUUUCCCAAAACCUAGGACGGAACUCUCAGAACUUUUAAUGUGACGAAUUGCCCAGUAACACGAGAAGUUUAUGAGUUCUGUUUAAUGGAGGAAGGAAUUUUAUUUAAGCAGAGUGUUGUGACCUGUUUUUAAAGAAUCGAACUAAUGCAGACUUUCCUAAAGUCGCGUCGCGAACCUUCCGGUUGAAGAAAGAAGCGCGAUGCAGACAGUGUGCAGCAUGGUGUCACUUUUAUAUCGUGACAGAGAAACCGACUGCGAUAAACAUGCACGGCGAGCCUCCCCGUACUGCUGUGCCACAGUUUAAAAAAGCCUGUCAAACGAGUUCUGCAGUGACCGAGGCAAACACACAGAGGCGCACACGCGUUCACAUACCACAGGUACAGCGCGAUCGAUCGGGCACGCCCCGCCGAGAGGCGCUCGCAUGAAGGAUGUGAAUGUGUUGCCUCAGUUCAAAGCGCUAGGCAUUCCUGUGCGACAGUGAUGGAUCUUGGCAUUUUGGAGACAGCAGGGACUGUGGGAUUGUUUAAAAUUGUAUGCAGUUUCCUCUCUUUGCCCACCCUCAGAGACUCACAAAACUCUGUCAGCUUCUGCUGCAGCUGCCUGCUGUUCUUCACAGAUUUCUCUGUCACAGCAUUCCUUGCGUUUCUAUGGAUGGCCACGCCUUGGCAGCCUCGGUUUGAGGUGUCCAAUGACGAAAUUGCCCUGCGCCUCCUGCUGUUCCUUGACCACACCUAUGGGGCGGUGCUGUUGAUGACAACACCUCUUGUCACCGUGGACACAGUUUGCAGGGCACUGUGGCCAGCGGGCGGACGUGUGGAGCAGGACGAGGGUAACUUCGGAGAUGGAGACAGGAGGAG
Megalops cyprinoides (Indo-Pacific tarpon) is the source of this 1713-nucleotide long non-coding RNA. RefSeq lists it as uncharacterized. Lineage: Eukaryota; Metazoa; Chordata; Actinopteri; Elopiformes; Megalopidae. The record is from RefSeq and is a predicted model, not a curated record. The transcript is spliced from 3 exons.